This is a long non-coding RNA of Vidua macroura (Pin-tailed whydah), 4172 nucleotides long. RefSeq lists it as uncharacterized. NCBI's taxonomy places the organism in Eukaryota, Metazoa, Chordata, Aves, Passeriformes, Viduidae. The record is from RefSeq and is a predicted model, not a curated record. The transcript has 2 exons.
CCAAGAUGGCGGCCUGAGGGCCCGGGCGCCGAGCGGGGCCUGGCCCGGCCGAGCCCGGGCCGUGAGGGGACAGAGCGAGCGGAACGGCGCCGGUACCUCCGCAGAGCCUGGCCCAGCCUCCGCCCAGGCACACUCGCAGCGGGCACAGCGAUGUCCUGCGGCAGAGGCGCGAGAGCUUCCGCCGGGCAAAGCCUUCUGCGGGACCGUGCAAAGCUCACCAGGAGCGCGGCGGCUUCGGGAAUUAAAGGUCAGGAUGAACAUCAGAAGCUGUUCCUAACUUGUGAAAAACGCAACAGCAAGGCAACUCUCGGCGAAAAGGGGCCGAAAGCCCCGUUCCCGUUUCUAAGGUGCAGGGCCAGGCCCAGCCAGAGGGACACGAGAAAACGCAGCCACAAAAGCUGGGAUCAGUUCUCAGGCAGGAAAACACCCGGAUUACACGGCGGCUUGGAGCACGCUACCGGGAUGUGCGAGGAUCAAGAGAGGUCAGCACUAAAACAGGUGUUUAAUUCCAGCUGAAGAGUCUGAAGGGAACAGGAUGACUUCCAAGGAGCAAAGAACAUCAAUGAUUUCUGUAUUUCUCAUCAGAACUAACACGCACUCACUUGCUGCACAGCACUGCACUGGAAAGUUGCUGGUGUCUUCUUUAUUUCUUAUUUAACGCCAGUACGAGUGGCACUUGACUACACCAAUAGACUCCAGCUGACAUGAACUAAUAUUUGAAUGAAACUUGUUCCCUACUAAGUAAUUCACUUUACAACAUCGUCUUAAUCAAGCUUGAAAAUUCAUGAUUCAUUUUUUCAUAAAUGUAAACAGCGUUAACGAGAUGUGUGUCUUGCCCACGCUGCAGAUGACAGAAGUAAGGCAAACACUGUCGGUGGUUUAACCACAUGAAAAUGAUGUGGGUAUCCUGGACCAAGCAUUGUGCCAUCACCUUGAAAAUGCUGAACACAAAACCAAAGCAAAGAUCCCAGGAUGUGGAUACGUGUAAGUGGUCUGAUUAUUGCAAAUCAUUGACAACCACAUAUGAAAAGAUGAUGCCAAGGAAAAAAUUCUCUGAAUAAUUAAACUGAACAAGUUUCCCUUUUUUUCCCCUUGGAGACACAGAAGUAAAUCACAUCAACAUUUUACUGUCAAAAUGAAGGAAGGGGGUGAGGGGAAGUUAUUUAAAAGGUUGGGUUAGGAGCAUCUUUUGUCAUGACAAGAGAAAAUUUUAAAUAAACUGCCCCAAAAGAACAUGACCAACUUUACAUCACCACCAGGCUCCGGUGAGAUAUCAGCUUCCUGCACGGCACAAAGGGAGCACUUGGGGCUUUGGAGCCUUCCUCUCUCUUUUGGUGGUGGGGAAGUGUCUCAGCCUACAAAGGGCAAACCAAAACCUCAGUCUCUGCCUUCAGGGGUCCUUCGGGCCCUGUUGCUCAGCAGUGGAGCUCAGCAGCUGGCAGGGAGCCGGCUGCACCUCGGGUCCUGCAGCUGCACAUGGUCCCACUCAGUCACUCCGGCCCUGGAGCCCAGCCUCGCACACCAGCGGGCUUCAUUCCUACAGACCAAACAUCCGGUACCAGCCACGGCAAUUAACGAGGAGAAAAAAAUCUAAACAAACAAAUGCAUGCAAAUACUUACCCAGCAGCAGCUCAGCUCCACCCAGCACUGCAUCCCAGCCACGGGAGUCCCGCGGACCCGUCUCUGCUCAUCCCGAGGGAAUCCCGGCAGCUCACGGAGCAUCGGCCGGGCCGGGGCCGCUCCUGGCCGGAACCGCCGCGCCGAGGGCUCGGUCCGGGCACAGGAACCUCCGCGGCUGCAGCGGGACCCGGCCGGGCCCUGCCGGGACCCCCUGCCGCACCUGCGGCCCCCGUCCGUGCCCCCGCUGUGGACAUUAGGCCACUUUCAGCUCUGAUUUAGACAGGACAGACUGUGAUACACACCAGCUUUGUGUGUUGUAAGCACACCAGCCAAGUGUCAUUUAUAAAAGCACGACCCCUGCACUGGGUGCUGUCCCUUCCUUCUCUGGCUCCUUUCACAUCAGCUGCUGCUCUCUGUUCCUCAGCUCUGAGCGCUGCCAUUCUGUUUGUGAUUACCAAAAAGCCAUUUUCAGUACCUGGGCAUUGCCAGGUGCUCACGAGGGCACUCUGGAGAAGUCACUGCACCUCACAGGACAAGAACCACGUUCUGAUAUGGGGACAGCAAAUACACUCAUACACCUUCAACAUAACACCCCAGAGCCUGGAACAACAUUCUCUCACUGAUGAAAUGCAAGGUAUUUCCUUCUGCUAUCAGGUAAUAAAAUAGCAGUUCAAUAGAAAGGAAUGUUAAUUGGAAAGACAGGAAAUGAUACAUUAUUAGCAACACUUCUGAACUGGGUAUAAGAAGUGCUGGUUUAAUACCACAGCACUGCAAUUGCUUUGUGCUUCAUGGCUAUAAAGCACUUUUAAAUCAAGCACACGACAUCAAGUCCCCAAAGACAAAUUUAUCUCCUGUGUGAGAGCAAAGUACACAAGUGAUCUAUGAGAGCUGCACAAGGAGUCUGAAUUCCUACAUCUUGGCUGCAGUCUCGCCUCCCCAAGGACCAGCUGUGCCAUUUAUUGCAUACUUCUAACAGCAUCCAAGAAUAUUGUUACCAUCCAACACAUCUUCCCUCCUGUUAGCAUUGGAAGCCAUUUAUGAAGCUACCUUAAAGCUGAUUUUUCCUCUCCAGCAUUAACCACAUACAACUACACUCCAUUAUCUGAGUGUGACACUUGUUUUGCAAGGAACACAUGCUCAGAAGACUUCUGGAAAGUCUGUAACUAGAAUGCCACAGAUAAUUUGAAGAAAACAGAAAAUCUUCAAAUGGGUAUUUAGCACUAACCUGUAUCUGUAAGCAUGCAUGAAUUUUCAAUUUCAUAAAAUAACCCAAGUCCUAAUGCCUUGUUAAGAGCUCAUCACCUUGAGAAAAGUGAAAUGCUCCUGGGUUUAAAGGACAGAUGAAGUUAACAGCUGCAUUCCUUCCUCAAGGAGGCAGCAGUAGGGAAAGUUAGUCUUCCUUUAAAUAAGUUUCUCAGUUUUCAGAAAACUGCUGUGGGUAGGAGUGCUGUGUAGCAGCAGCAUUGCUGACCUGUGAGCGCACUUGAGCCUCAUCCCCUGGCAGUCUGUGCUGUGCCUCCUCUGCAGAGCCAGCCUCGCUCCAUCCUCCCACACAGGCAUUCCCCAGGACGGGCCCUCAGUCUUUGCUCCUGCUGCCUCCGUGGGUGACCCCAGGGCCGUGCCCGAGCCAGGGAAACUGCAGAGGAUGCACUGCAGAGCUCACACCAUUCCAGGAAUGCCACUCUGCUCCCAGCACUCCUUCCGAGUGUCCUGUGCAGAGAGAACUCCCCCAGCUCCAAGCCACUCACGCUCCAGUGCCCAGGGCAGCAGCCUGGCUGCACUCUGAGUCACUGCUGAUCCCAGCCCUGCUGUCCCCUCCCCGAGGCUCCGUCUGCAGGCAUGGAGAGCCCUGAGCACACAAACCAACCAGUCCCACAGAGAGGAGGGAGGUGCAGAGCAGAACUCUGCUCAGCCCCAAAGCUGCAGAAACAAAAGCCACACGCGAAGGGCUGAGCGCAGCCCGAGUCUCUCCUCCCUGGGUAAACGUGUACAAGGGCUGCCAAGGCAAGAGGUGGGAGGAAACAGCUGUAAGUGAGAUGGGUUUGAGUUCAAGCUGUCCCAUGGACUCUUCCAGAUACUCACAGCAGCAGUGACAGCGUCCCAGCAGCACCUGACACAGGUGACAGGAGGCACCUGAACUGUCCCAGGAGCAGCCCUCAGGCAAGGCAGGCAGUGAGGGGUCCCUGCUGCUGCAGGCACAGCACAGAGAGCAGCAGCACUGCGGGACACACGGCUGGGAGUGCCCAGGGCACGGCUCUGCUCCAGGGGAGGGACACAGAGAGAACAUCCCCGCAAACACAGCCUCGCCCGCUGGCCAGGACAGACAUAUUAAGCCCAUCUGUUGUCACACUUGAGAAAAAGGAUACAUUCUUCCUCAUUUUAUCUGACAAAGUAAUUGAAAAAACCCCAUUUUAUUUCUAUAUCCAUUUAUUAUUUUGGUCUGUAAAAAUAUAAGACUAAUAUACAACUACAUCUAGCUUGAUUUUUGUAAAAUCAAUCUUCAUUCGGUGAGAUACCAAUGUACAUUAUACAUUAAAGUUGUAAGAAAAAUA